Molecule: ribosomal RNA, 387 nt
Filed under: uncultured bacterium
Lineage: Bacteria
Description: bacterial SSU rRNA
Rfam family: Bacterial small subunit ribosomal RNA
Source: RNAcentral
AUUGAACGCUGGCGGCGUGCUUAACACAUGCAAGUCGUGCGGUAACAGGCGUAGCAAUACGUGCUGACGAGCGGCGAACGGGUGCGUAAUACAUGGGAAUCUGCCCUUUAGUGGGGAAUAACCCGGCGAAAGCCGGGCUAAUGCCGCAUAAGAUCGUCGGAUGAAAGCGGGGGGAUCGUAAGACCUCGCGCUGAUGGAUGAGCCCAUGUCGGAUUAGCAGUUGGUGAGGUAAAGGCUCACCAAGGCGACGAUCCGUAGCUGGUCUGAGAGGACGGCCAGCCACACUGGGACUGAGACACGGCCCAGACUCCUACGGGAGGCAGCAGUGGGGAAUAUUGGACAAUGGGGAACCCUGAUCCAGCGACGCCGCGUGUGUGAAGAAGGCCU